This 251-nucleotide ribosomal RNA is filed under the name uncultured prokaryote. RNAcentral's name for it is "partial 16S rRNA". It matches the Rfam family "Bacterial small subunit ribosomal RNA", at positions 525 to 775 of the family's 1533-position model. The record is from RNAcentral.
ACGAAGGGUGCAAGCGUUACUCGGAAUUACUGGGCGUAAAGCGUGCGUAGGUGGUCGUUUAAGUCCGUUGUGAAAGCCCUGGGCUCAACCUGGGAACUGCAGUGGAUACUGGGCGACUAGAAUGUGGUAGAGGGUAGCGGAAUUCCUGGUGUGGCAGUGAAAUGCGUGGAGAUCAGGAGGAACAUCAAAGGGGAGGGCAGCGACCUGGGGCAAUAUUGCCAGAGAUGCACGAAGGCGUGGGGAAGAGAGAU